GUGGCCGUAGCUCAUCAGGUUAGAGCACCGGAUUGUGACUCCGGAGGUGGAGGGUUCGAGACCCUUCGGCCACCCCA
This 77-nucleotide transfer RNA is filed under the name Kineobactrum sediminis. RNAcentral describes it as "tRNA-His". It matches the Rfam family "tRNA". From Rfam's summary of the family: Transfer RNA (tRNA) molecules are approximately 80 nucleotides in length. The record is from RNAcentral. Lineage: Bacteria; Pseudomonadati; Pseudomonadota; Gammaproteobacteria; Cellvibrionales; Halieaceae.